UGUGGCAGAUUAGUGCAGUAAACUUAAGAUUUUCUCAAAAAGUUAACCUUUCUUUAGAA
RNAcentral lists this transfer RNA (59 nucleotides) under Ponyalis variabilis. Its description in RNAcentral is "tRNA-Leu". Lineage: Eukaryota; Metazoa; Arthropoda; Insecta; Coleoptera; Lycidae. The record is from RNAcentral.